Sinocyclocheilus rhinocerous is the source of this 327-nucleotide long non-coding RNA. RefSeq lists it as uncharacterized. Lineage: Eukaryota; Metazoa; Chordata; Actinopteri; Cypriniformes; Cyprinidae. The transcript is spliced from 3 exons. The record is from RefSeq and is a predicted model, not a curated record.
GUAUAGUAAAAUAUAAUUAUUUGUUUUGCUGAAGUAAUUGUAUAUUAUUCUAAACACACUGUAUUUGGUUGUUGUAGAUGUUCAUCUAUCUCAGAGAGCACUUUUAAAGUUUUACCACCACCUUAUCAGAGUGCUGAAAAGUGGAAGUCAGAGGAAACAUGACCAACUUGCUGCAAAACAAUAACACAAAAGGUCUAGACUAUGGAGUGCAGCAUUACUUGUUUGGUCAUCUACAUUCAGAUGAAAACACCACACUCCUCUCUAAUUCAAGAUGUCAAGCCUACUCAUCGCAAGGAGAGUUAGCAUCAAAAUGGAUGUGUCACUGAC